CACAAGACAAAAAUUCGAAACCCGUUUAGCAUGUUAAGCAUUAGUUACUUUUAUUGGAAACAAAAACACAAACAAACAAAAAACGCCCAAAAUACAUAAUGUUAUUUAAAAAUGCUGGUGGAAAUUAAAACGUUAGGGGUAGGGUGGGGGCUUGGGACUCGCUCCAUCACAAGCAGUUCACUUGCUCACUGCCUCGGCCCAGUGUUACCAGGUGACUCCUUCCACAGCCUCUAGGGCUCUGGAACCCCGGGAGAUCGUGAUUCCGCUGGAGAGCACCCCCUGGUGGCUAGCUCUGAAGAGGCUGUGUCUGAACUGCAGGGCAGGAAAGUAAGGAGGCUGACAGUUGAACACCGGGCCCCUGCCUCCCCCACAGCUGUCACCACUGCACAGAGGAUGGCACUGGAUUGACUGGCAGAAUUCAUCUUCCUCAUGAAGGAGCUGUGACAGGGUUCUCAUCUGGGCUCUGGAGGAGGCCUGGUGACCAGAUGUUCUGGUUCAAGGCCUACUGGAUGGACAGGGCCAGCCAAAGGGCCAGGAUGUCCCAGCAAGGCUUGGGAGAUGUGGGAUGGCCCUCUUCCCAUGCAGCCUCAAACCCUGGACCGGACCCACAGAUUCUGGUGAGACAAGGAAGGAGGCUGGGAAAAGCUGACUCCAGGGAGGGGCUUUGGGGGCUGUCUAGCAGCUGGCAGAGACCCAGCAAACUCCCUGCACAUGAUAUCCUGCUCUACCAAGGCUGUCCCAGGCUGUUCAGAC
Molecule: long non-coding RNA, 753 nt
Filed under: Felis catus (domestic cat)
Lineage: Eukaryota; Metazoa; Chordata; Mammalia; Carnivora; Felidae
Description: lncRNA (ENSFCAG00000050874.1)
Source: RNAcentral